RNAcentral lists this small RNA (91 nucleotides) under Arabidopsis thaliana (thale cress). Its description in RNAcentral is "ATSL044790". The record is from RNAcentral. Lineage: Eukaryota; Viridiplantae; Streptophyta; Magnoliopsida; Brassicales; Brassicaceae.
UAAUAAGAAUAAGUGUUUAAGCAACUCUCUGUGUUGUGUUGAUCUCUAUACCCUCUUAAAUACCGUAUGACCUACGAUAACAUCUCUACCC